AUCCGGUUGUUCAGUCUGACGUCACUAGCCAUGUCUGGGCCUAAACUCCGCUGCAGGUCCAUAUAUCAAACGAUCACUGUGGCAUUACUGAGAGUUGAAAAACUGUCUAAAGUCUUUCAUCUUUAAUAAAAUGAUCAGCGUUCUGCUCUACCAGGUGUAACAAUUGAGUUUAACAUCCAGGCAUCCAUGAAAACGGAAUUUAUGACAUUUAACGGAGUUAGAAGUUAGCAGGGAGUUAGCUCGCUAGCUUCUAUCUAAAUACAAUAUAGCAUGUCCUGACUGCGGGGUUUUGGAAACAAAUUCAAACGUACAGCUCUGCUAUCACUUCCAGCAUAAAUGAAGACAGAAAACUAAACAGCAGUGACGUUUGUAGGGUUACUGAAGUUGGGCUAGCUGGUAUAUAAUGAUGUGCUACGUGACCGCUAGCGACACAGCUAUGUUAGCAUAAUAUAAACAAGCUAACUUUUUUUCCACUCGAUAAAAGUUAACGCGAGUGUUCUCGGUGGUCAGGAACAAAUGUAAUCGCAUGGCAGGAUGCUGUAAAAGGACCAAACUUCAGCCAGGAGAACAACUGAGAUAAUCCAUCCACAAUACAAGUGAUCUACAGAGUCACCAUGAGGACCAAAGCCAUCCUUCUUAUGUCAGUGUUUAUACUGAUACUCUUGAUUCCCGUAUCUUUUGCUACCGGCACUCAAAACUAUACUCUAGAGAACAAUACGACAUCUACUCAAACUUUAGGCUAUUCACACUCUCCCUCUGGAGCUACAAACAGCACAACAACAUCCUCCCCAACAUCCAAUUCAGUUACAACCGUUGUUCCAUCAGGUACAACAAAUACAGCUCUACCUAGCACAACUUCCUCAUCCCCCACAACCGGAAAGGCAGUGAAGAUUUGGCUUAUUGUCAUUCUGUUGGUCAUCAUGGUUUUGAUGGUGCUUGUGGCAUAUCUCCAUCACGUGUGCCAGCAGUCCGGCCAUAGCGGCUCUGUGCCCAGGUUCCUAUUAGAUGUGAGGGAGAGGCUGAGAACCUGGAUCAGGAACCUGGAGGACCACCAGGGUGUUCAGCUUUGGCCAGGGGACAAGAGACCAGCAGAGGAUGCCAUGGAGGAGGAUGCCAUGGAGGACACAGAAGGAGGACAGGCAGAUGAGGGAGAGGUGUGGAGGGGUGGAGAAGGAGCUAAUAAUGAACUAAGCAACGAGGAAAAAGGAGAACACAAGGAGGAAGACAGCGACACUUCGGAUGACUGCUCAAGUUUGGAGGGGGAUGAUCUGAGGGAGAGGGCACUAAACAGACAGAAUGAAGAGGAGGGGAACCAGAGCAAGGACAAGGAUGAGGAUGAAACGAGUACCUCAAGUGAUGAAGGUCAAAGUCAUUCAGAAGGAAUGAGUGGUGGAAAUAAAGAUGAAGAUUCUGAAGAGACUGCACUUGUAAUCUCCCCUCAGCAGGAUUUAUGUGAUGUGACUGUUUUAUAGUGAAACGAUGCAUGAGUGAAGGAGAAGAUUCUGACUGUUUUUAAUGUUACAGAGUUUAGAUAGUUACUUUAUCGACACCAAAUCAAUAAAUAAAUCAAUACAUUUGCCUUUUUCAUAGUUGUCUCUGUGCUCUACCACUGAAACUCCGAUGUAAAAAAAAACAAAACACUGUCAGUGUGUGAUGAUCUUCAAAUAAACCUUUAAAAAA
This is a long non-coding RNA of Astatotilapia calliptera (eastern happy), 1680 nucleotides long. Lineage: Eukaryota; Metazoa; Chordata; Actinopteri; Cichliformes; Cichlidae. The record is from Ensembl.